UUAAGCGACUAAGCGUACACGGUGGAUGCCCUGGCAGUCAGAGGCGAUGAAGGACGUGCUAAUCUGCGAUAAGCGUCGGUGAGGUGAUAUGAACCGUUAUAACCGGCGAUUUCCGAAUGGGGAAACCCAGUGUGUUUCGACACACUAUCAUUAACUGAAUCCAUAGGUUAAUGAGGCGAACCGGGGGAACUGAAACAUCUAAGUACCCCGAGGAAAAGAAAUCAACCGAGAUUCCCCCAGUAGCGGCGAGCGAACGGGGAGGAGCCCAGAGCCUGAAUCAGUGUGUGUGUUAGUGGAAGCGUCUGGAAAGGCGCGCGAUACAGGGUGACAGCCCCGUACACAAAAAUGCACAUAUUGUGAGCUCGAUGAGUAGGGCGGGACACGUGGUAUCCUGUCUGAAUAUGGGGGGACCAUCCUCCAAGGCUAAAUACUCCUGACUGACCGAUAGUGAACCAGUACCGUGAGGGAAAGGCGAAAAGAACCCCGGCGAGGGGAGUGAAAAAGAACCUGAAACCGUGUACGUACAAGCAGUGGGAGCCUCUUAAUGGGGUGACUGCGUACCUUUUGUAUAAUGGGUCAGCGACUUAUAUUCUGUAGCAAGGUUAACCGAAUAGGGGAGCCGAAGGGAAACCGAGUCUUAACUGGGCGUUAAGUUGCAGGGUAUAGACCCGAAACCCGGUGAUCUAGCCAUGGGCAGGUUGAAGGUUGGGUAACACUAACUGGAGGACCGAACCGACUAAUGUUGAAAAAUUAGCGGAUGACUUGUGGCUGGGGGUGAAAGGCCAAUCAAACCGGGAGAUAGCUGGUUCUCCCCGAAAGCUAUUUAGGUAGCGCCUCGUGAAUUCAUCUCCGGGGGUAGAGCACUGUUUCGGCAAGGGGGUCAUCCCGACUUACCAACCCGAUGCAAACUGCGAAUACCGGAGAAUGUUAUCACGGGAGACACACGGCGGGUGCUAACGUCCGUCGUGAAGAGGGAAACAACCCAGACCGCCAGCUAAGGUCCCAAAGUCAUGGUUAAGUGGGAAACGAUGUGGGAAGGCCCAGACAGCCAGGAUGUUGGCUUAGAAGCAGCCAUCAUUUAAAGAAAGCGUAAUAGCUCACUGGUCGAGUCGGCCUGCGCGGAAGAUGUAACGGGGCUAAACCAUGCACCGAAGCUGCGGCAGCGACGCUUAUGCGUUGUUGGGUAGGGGAGCGUUCUGUAAGCCUGUGAAGGUGUGCUGUGAGGCAUGCUGGAGGUAUCAGAAGUGCGAAUGCUGACAUAAGUAACGAUAAAGCGGGUGAAAAGCCCGCUCGCCGGAAGACCAAGGGUUCCUGUCCAACGUUAAUCGGGGCAGGGUGAGUCGACCCCUAAGGCGAGGCCGAAAGGCGUAGUCGAUGGGAAACAGGUUAAUAUUCCUGUACUUGGUGUUACUGCGAAGGGGGGACGGAGAAGGCUAUGUUGGCCGGGCGACGGUUGUCCCGGUUUAAGCGUGUAGGCUGGUUUUCCAGGCAAAUCCGGAAAACCAAGGCUGAGGCGUGAUGACGAGGCACUACGGUGCUGAAGCGACAAAUGCCCUGCUUCCAGGAAAAGCCUCUAAGCAUCAGGUAACAUCAAAUCGUACCCCAAACCGACACAGGUGGUCAGGUAGAGAAUACCAAGGCGCUUGAGAGAACUCGGGUGAAGGAACUAGGCAAAAUGGUGCCGUAACUUCGGGAGAAGGCACGCUGAUAUGUAGGUGAAGCGACUUGCUCGUGGAGCUGAAAUCAGUCGAAGAUACCAGCUGGCUGCAACUGUUUAUUAAAAACACAGCACUGUGCAAACACGAAAGUGGACGUAUACGGUGUGACGCCUGCCCGGUGCCGGAAGGUUAAUUGAUGGGGUUAGCGGCAACGCGAAGCUCUUGAUCGAAGCCCCGGUAAACGGCGGCCGUAACUAUAACGGUCCUAAGGUAGCGAAAUUCCUUGUCGGGUAAGUUCCGACCUGCACGAAUGGCGUAAUGAUGGCCAGGCUGUCUCCACCCGAGACUCAGUGAAAUUGAACUCGCUGUGAAGAUGCAGUGUACCCGCGGCAAGACGGAAAGACCCCGUGAACCUUUACUAUAGCUUGACACUGAACAUUGAGCCUUGAUGUGUAGGAUAGGUGGGAGGCUUUGAAGUGUGGACGCCAGUCUGCAUGGAGCCGACCUUGAAAUACCACCCUUUAAUGUUUGAUGUUCUAACGUUGGCCCGUAAUCCGGGUUGCGGACAGUGUCUGGUGGGUAGUUUGACUGGGGCGGUCUCCUCCUAAAGAGUAACGGAGGAGCACGAAGGUUGGCUAAUCCUGGUCGGACAUCAGGAGGUUAGUGCAAUGGCAUAAGCCAGCUUGACUGCGAGCGUGACGGCGCGAGCAGGUGCGAAAGCAGGUCAUAGUGAUCCGGUGGUUCUGAAUGGAAGGGCCAUCGCUCAACGGAUAAAAGGUACUCCGGGGAUAACAGGCUGAUACCGCCCAAGAGUUCAUAUCGACGGCGGUGUUUGGCACCUCGAUGUCGGCUCAUCACAUCCUGGGGCUGAAGUAGGUCCCAAGGGUAUGGCUGUUCGCCAUUUAAAGUGGUACGCGAGCUGGGUUUAGAACGUCGUGAGACAGUUCGGUCCCUAUCUGCCGUGGGCGCUGGAGAACUGAGGGGGGCUGCUCCUAGUACGAGAGGACCGGAGUGGACGCAUCACUGGUGUUCGGGUUGUCAUGCCAAUGGCACUGCCCGGUAGCUAAAUGCGGAAGAGAUAAGUGCUGAAAGCAUCUAAGCACGAAACUUGCCCCGAGAUGAGUUCUCCCUGAGACUUAGAGUCUCCUGAAGGAACGUUGAAGACGACGACGUUGAUAGGCCGGGUGUGUAAGCGCAGCGAUGCGUUGAGCUAACCGGUACUAAUGAACCGUGAGGCUUAACCUU
This 2903-nucleotide ribosomal RNA is filed under the name Escherichia coli HVH 213 (4-3042928). RNAcentral's name for it is "bacterial LSU rRNA". It matches the Rfam family "Bacterial large subunit ribosomal RNA". Lineage: Bacteria; Pseudomonadati; Pseudomonadota; Gammaproteobacteria; Enterobacterales; Enterobacteriaceae. The record is from RNAcentral.